GACGAACGCUGGCGGCGUGCUUAACACAUGCAAGUCGUACGGUAAGGCCCUUUCGGGGGUACACGAGUGGCGCACGGGUGAGUAACACGUGAGUAACCUGCCCACAACUUUGGGAUAACGCUAGGAAACUGGUGCUAAUACUGGAUAUGUGCCCCUGCUGCAUGGUGGGGGUUGGAAAGCUCCGGCGGUUGUGGAUGGACUCGCGGCCUAUCAGCUUGUUGGUGGGGUAGUGGCCUACCAAGGCGGCGACGGGUAGCCGGCCUGAGAGGGUGACCGGCCACAUUGGGACUGAGAUACGGCCCAGACUCCUACGGGAGGCAGCAGUGGGGAAUAUUGAACAAUGGGCGCAAGCCUGAUGCAGCAACGCCGCGUGCGGGAUGACGGCCUUCGGGUUGUAAACCGCUUUCAGCAGGGACGAAGCUUUUUGUGACGGUACCUGCAGAAGAAGCACCGGCUAACUACGUG
This 465-nucleotide ribosomal RNA is filed under the name uncultured bacterium. RNAcentral describes it as "partial 16S ribosomal RNA". It matches the Rfam family "Bacterial small subunit ribosomal RNA", at positions 28 to 507 of the family's 1533-position model. The record is from RNAcentral.